Molecule: ribosomal RNA, 400 nt
Filed under: Rossellomorea marisflavi
Lineage: Bacteria; Bacillati; Bacillota; Bacilli; Caryophanales; Bacillaceae
Description: bacterial SSU rRNA
Rfam family: Bacterial small subunit ribosomal RNA
Source: RNAcentral
UUAUGGAGAGUUUGAUCCUGGCUCAGGACGAACGCUGGCGGCGUGCCUAAUACAUGCAAGUCGAGCGGAUCGAUGGGAGCUUGCUCCCUGAGAUCAGCGGCGGACGGGUGAGUAACACGUGGGUAACCUGCCUGUAAGACUGGGAUAACUCCGGGAAACCGGGGCUAAUACCGGAUAACACCUACCCCCGCAUGGGGGAAGGUUGAAAGGUGGCUUCGGCUAUCACUUACAGAUGGACCCGCGGCGCAUUAGCUAGUUGGUGAGGUAACGGCUCACCAAGGCGACGAUGCGUAGCCGACCUGAGAGGGUGAUCGGCCACACUGGGACUGAGACACGGCCCAGACUCCUACGGGAGGCAGCAGUAGGGAAUCUUCCGCAAUGGACGAAAGUCUGACGGAGC